GAAGGGGUACUUUGCGGGUGUAUGGACCGCUGCCACGUUCAUGUCUGACCACCCAAAAACUCUCCUUCGCCCGCUCUCUUUCCCACCCGAAGCUGUCAGCGCUGCUCUAGAGAAUCACUGGUUGUCCUACCAUCCGUCCACUAUUUAAACCCCAGGCCCGUCCAUGGCCGCAUUCAACAUUCUCCACCCCUUUCUCCUCCCCAGACCCGCAUGGCCUCAUCGAGCUCCAAACUUGUCCAGGACAACCUCUCAUCUGAGCAAAAGCAGUGGAUCACCGUCAUUGCCAUCAGGUAGGCAGGCUGGCAGGUAGACAUAUACGAGCGAUGCGGCUGGCCUAAUGAAAGAUGCGACCGAUGUCGAGUUGGCGUUUAGAGUUCGUUUUAGUUUAAAUAUGUUGAAAAUCAUUUUGCUUUAUGUAAAAAUUAUUCAAGUAUGAACAAAUUUCAUCUGAAUUGUUUAAAUAUGUACUAAAUUUGUUCAAUUUUAUUACAUUUUCAUCAAUAUGUAACUCGACUUAUGCGGUUAGUUUUAAGUAACCGGCUCCCCCAUCCGUAUAUGUGGAUUGAUCUCUUUAUCCAUAGACGGAUAUGGUCUCUGAUUUACGGGUCGAUGGAGAUGCCCUUAGGUCAUGUUGUGCCUCAUGUUGUACCUGAAGAGAGUUGUUGGGACUUGGAAAGCUCUCCUCCCCUUUUCCCUCUUUUGAAGGAAAAGAAAGAAGCCAUGAGCAUCUCUCAUUCUUUUCAGCCACUGCUUGUUAGUGUCACACAUCACAUUGCACUGGAAAGUUUGAGACAGCAGCAGCCGCAGCAGCAGCAGUUGACCCAUGUGAGGGAGAGGAGUAAACUAAGAUAGAGACGAGCAGACAAAGUAGAGGUCAUCCAUGUGUUGGUACUGCCUCGGCCUCAAUCAUCUAGUGUACCCUCAAUUGUACUACGUCCAUAUCAUCUUCAUCUCGUGCCUAUCCAUGUACGACGCACCUAUCCAUGCAUGUAAU
Molecule: long non-coding RNA, 994 nt
Filed under: Hordeum vulgare
Lineage: Eukaryota; Viridiplantae; Streptophyta; Magnoliopsida; Poales; Poaceae
Description: long non-coding RNA (HVUL_LNC011449)
Source: RNAcentral